Molecule: long non-coding RNA, 310 nt
Organism: Ipomoea triloba (trilobed morning glory)
Lineage: Eukaryota; Viridiplantae; Streptophyta; Magnoliopsida; Solanales; Convolvulaceae
Exons: 2
Source: RefSeq, a predicted model, not a curated record
CGGAUCCAAAUAUGGGCCAUGCAGUUGGAGCUUCAAGUCGUCCAAGCAGUGUGAAGAAGAAUGGUUCAGAUAAAGUGUAUGAAGAUGACAAGAGAAUAGUUCAUACAGUCAAUGUUUAAUGAGAGGUUAUGGGCACAAGGCAAGGCAGGGCAGACAGAGAAGCAGAGCAGAGUUAAAGGCUUCAACUAUAUAGUUAUAAAUGCUCUCCUGUUUAUUAUUUUCUUUUUUUGGAUUUUGAAUUAUUUUUUUUUUCCCACUGUUGUAACAACUGUACCUUCUGUUGUUGUAUUAAUUGUAUGUGGUUUAUUCA